CAGAACUGUUUAUUGAAUCUUUUGUCCCUUCUGUCCUUUAUUUUGCAGCAUUGAGGAAAGCAAAAUGAUUAAAUAUGGGGAAUUGAAGAUUUAUGCCAAUGCUGGGAAUUUGCUGCUAUUAUAUCCACUGCUGAAAUAUCAUUUGAGAAAAGGAUUGAGUAUUGUGUCACACUCUUUUGUCUCUCAAGAUGAAGGUCUGGGCUCUUGCAGAGAAAGUUUUUCUCCUCAAUGAGGUGUAUCCCAGAGGAAAGGAAUGCUCAGAUCUCUUCUAGACCUCUACAGUGAGGCUUCUUCUGCCACCCACAGAAAAAAGAAGACAAAGGAGUUCCUCCCAUCCUCGCCCUCCACAGUAAGGCUGGACUAGCAGAAAACCCUGAAGGCAGAGAGCUGGAGAACUGCUUUUUUUUGUUGUUUGUUUUCAACAGCAGCCCCAAAAGAAGCUGGCAAGCAAAGUGGGGAUUGGGGUGAGAAACUGAGGACACCUGUCCAAAGUGACUGCAGCCCCUCUUGAUCACACCAGUGGAACCAGUGCGCCAGGGCAGCCACAGCUUACCAGCACCGUGCUGGCCAGGUGCUUCGGGAGGUGCCUGACCCAGAAACUGAGCACAGCGGUAUGAUUCAGCUUUGAGGUGUGAGAAGCUCUCAGCAGGGCUGGCCAGGCAGGGUUCAGACAGGGAGCUGGCAGCCCGUGCC
RNAcentral lists this long non-coding RNA (693 nucleotides) under Numida meleagris (helmeted guineafowl). Its description in RNAcentral is "lncRNA (ENSNMEG00000007813.1)". Lineage: Eukaryota; Metazoa; Chordata; Aves; Galliformes; Numididae. The record is from RNAcentral.